CAAGAUAGAGCAUGAAAUUAUGCUUUUCACUUACAAUGAAACUAAAGAAUUAUUUUCUUAUCUUGA
This 66-nucleotide transfer RNA is filed under the name Laeonereis culveri. RNAcentral's name for it is "tRNA-Val". The record is from RNAcentral. Lineage: Eukaryota; Metazoa; Annelida; Polychaeta; Phyllodocida; Nereididae.